CGAGAGUUUGAUCCUGGCUCAGAUUGAACGCUGCGGCAUGCUUACACAUGCAAGUCGACGGUAACAGGUCUUCGGAUGCUGACGAGUGGCGAACGGGUGAGUAAUACAUCGGAACGUGCCCGAGUCGUGGGGGAUAACGAGGCGAAAGCUUGCUAAUACCGCAUAAGAUCUAUGGAUGAAAGCAGGGGACCGCAAGGCCUUGCGCGAACGGAGCGGCCGAUGGCAGAUUAGGUAGUUGGUGGGGUAAAGGCUUACCAAGCCUACGAUCUGUAGCUGGUCUGAGAGGACGACCAGCCACACUGGGACUGAGACACGGCCCAGACUCCUACGGGAGGCAGCAGUGGGGAAUUUUGGACAAUGGGCGCAAGCCUGAUCCAGCCAUGCCGCGUGCAGGAUGAAGGCCUUCGGGUUGUAAACUGCUUUUGUACGGAACGAAAAGCCUUCUUCUAAUACAGGGGGGUCAUGACGGUACCGUAAGAAUAAGCACCGGCUAACUACGUG
RNAcentral lists this ribosomal RNA (501 nucleotides) under uncultured Acidovorax sp. RNAcentral describes it as "bacterial SSU rRNA". It matches the Rfam family "Bacterial small subunit ribosomal RNA", at positions 1 to 507 of the family's 1533-position model. Lineage: Bacteria; Pseudomonadati; Pseudomonadota; Betaproteobacteria; Burkholderiales; Comamonadaceae. The record is from RNAcentral.